RNAcentral lists this ribosomal RNA (425 nucleotides) under uncultured bacterium. RNAcentral's name for it is "partial 16S ribosomal RNA". It matches the Rfam family "Bacterial small subunit ribosomal RNA", at positions 354 to 796 of the family's 1533-position model. The record is from RNAcentral.
GUGGGGAAUAUUGGACAAUGGGCGCAAGCCUGAUCCAGCCAUGCCGCGUGAGUGAUGAAGGCCCUAGGGUUGUAAAGCUCUUUCACCGGAGAAGAUAAUGACGGUAUCCGGAGAAGAAGCCCCGGCUAACUUCGUGCCAGCAGCCGCGGUAAUCCGAAGGGGGCUAGCGUUGUUCGGAAUUACUGGGCGUAAAGCGCACGUAGGCGGACAUUUAAGUCAGGGGUGAAAUCCCGGAGCUCAACUCCGGAACUGCCUUUGAUACUGGGUGUCUGGAGUAUGGAAGAGGUGAGUGGAAUUCCGAGUGUAGAGGUGAAAUUCGUAGAUAUUCGGAGGAACACCAGUGGCGAAGGCGGCUCACUGGUCCAUUACUGACGCUGAGGUGCGAAAGCGUGGGGAGCAAACAGGAUUAGAAACCCUGGUAGUCC